Molecule: ribosomal RNA, 1495 nt
Filed under: Meloidogyne arenaria
Lineage: Eukaryota; Metazoa; Nematoda; Chromadorea; Rhabditida; Meloidogynidae
Description: SSU rRNA
Rfam family: Eukaryotic small subunit ribosomal RNA
Source: RNAcentral
UCUGGUUGAUCCUGCCUGAACUGAUGUGUUUAUUUCAAAGAUUAAGCCAUGCAUGUAUAAGUUUAAUCGUUUAUCGAGAAACCGCGAACGGCUCAUUAGAAUGGCCAUUAUUUACUUGAUCUUGAUUGUCUAAAUGGAUAACUGUGGAAAAGCUAGAGCUAAUACAUGCACUAAAGCUUUGUCCUUACGGAAAAGCGCAUUUAUUAGAACAAAACCACGCGGCUUCGGCUGCUUCUUGUUGACUCAGAAUAACUUAGCUGACCGCAUGGCUUGUGCCGGCGGCGUGUCUUUCAAGCGUCCACUUUAUCAACUUGACGGGAGCAUAAUCGACUCCCGUGGUGGUGACGGAUAACGGAGGAUCAGGGUUCGACUCCGGAGAAGGGCCUGAGAAAUGGCCACUACGUCUAAGGAUGGCAGCAGGCGCGCAAAUUACCCACUCUCGGCUCCAGGAGGUAGUGACGAGAAAUAACGAGACUGUUCUCUUUGAGGCGGUCAUCGGAAUGGGUACAAUUUAAACCCUUUACGAGUAUCAAGCAGAGGGCAAGUCUGGUGCAGCAGCCGCGGUAAUUCCAGCUCUGCAAAUACAUAGAAUUAUUGCUGCGGUUAGAAAGCUCAUAGUUGGAUUCGUAUCGAUACCUUGGAACCCUUCGGGUGUCUCUAGGUGUUAUCGAUUUAUCGUAAUGUUCGGUUUUGAGUCCUUAACAGGAUUCUUAACAGGCAUUGCAAGUUUACUUUGAACAAAUCAGAGUGCUUCAAACAGGCGUUUUCGCUUGAAUGAUCGUGCAUGGAAUAAUAGAAAAUGAUUUCGGUUCAGUUUUAUUGGUUUUACGGACUGAGAUAAUGGUUAACAGAGACAAACGGCAGGCUCCACACCACCAGGAGUGGAGCCUGCGGCUUAAUUUGACUCAACACGGGGAAACUCACCCGGCCCGGACACUGUGAGGAUUGACAGAUUGAUAGCUUUUUCAUGAUUCAGUGGAUGGUGGUGCAUGGCCGUUCUUAGUUCGUGGAGUGAUUUGUCUGGUUUAUUCCGAUAACGAGCGAGACUCUAACCUACUAAAUAGUUGGUACAUACUCUUAGUGUAUACAGCUUCUUAGAGGGAUUUGCGGCGUUCAGCCGAAAGAAAUUGAGCAAUAACAGGUCUGUGAUGCCCUUAGAUGUCCGGGGCUGCACGCGCGCUACACUGGCAAAUCAACGUGCUUGUCCUACCUGAAAGGGGCGGGUAACCAUUGAAAAUUUGCCGUGAUUGGGAUCGGAAAUUCAAUUAUUUUCCGUGAACGAGGAAUUCCAAGUAAGUGCGAGUCAUCAGCUCGCGUUGAUUACGUCCCUGCCCUUUGUACACACCGCCCGUCGCUGCCGGGACUGAGCCAUUUCGAGAAAUUUGGGGACCGUUGAUUUAAUUUUUCUAAAUUACUUUGAUGGAACCAAUUUAAUCGCAGUGGCUUGAACCGGGCAAAAGUCGUAACAAGGUAGCUGUAGGUGAACCUGCUGCUG